CAGCAGUCGCCACGGGAAUACGGAGGGAGCUAGCGUUGUUCGGAAUUACUGGGCGUAAAGCGCACGUAGGCGGCUUUGUAAGUUAGAGGUGAAAGCCUGGAGCUCAACUCCAGAAUUGCCUUUAAGACUGCAUCGCUUGAAUCCGAGAGAGGUGAGUGGAAUUCCGAGUGUAGAGGUGAAAUUCGUAGAUAUUCGGAAGAACACCAGUGGCGAAGGCGACUGACUGGACAAGUAUUGACGCUGAGGUGCGAAAGCGUGGGGAGCAAACAGGAUUAGAUACCCCCGUAGUCCCUGUCUCUUAUAC
Molecule: ribosomal RNA, 304 nt
Filed under: uncultured bacterium
Lineage: Bacteria
Description: partial 16S ribosomal RNA
Rfam family: Bacterial small subunit ribosomal RNA
Source: RNAcentral